RNAcentral lists this long non-coding RNA (909 nucleotides) under Homo sapiens (human). RNAcentral describes it as "HSALNT0324663". The record is from RNAcentral. Lineage: Eukaryota; Metazoa; Chordata; Mammalia; Primates; Hominidae.
CGCAGCGUCACUGCCCAUGGCGACGGCGUUCCAGACUCACGCACACUCACCACACGCGUCACUGUGCCCAUGGCGACGGCCUUACUGACUCACACUCACCGCACAUGUCAUUGUGCCCGUGGCGACGGCCCUCCUGACUCACACUCACCGCACGUCACUGUGCCCGUGGCGACGGCCCUCCUGACUCACACACGCUCCCCGCACGCGUCGCUCUGCCCGUGGCGACGGCCUUCCUGACUCACACACACAACCCGCACGCGUCGCUCUGCCCACGGCAACAGUGUUCCUGCCUAUCAUCACAACAGGCGACUCAAGAACGUGACGUCAUGUGGACCCCGUGACCAAAACCAGGCCCAUACUACGCCCGUGAUGUUUCCUCUUUCAGGGUGCUGAGACCUGAGACCACACCUGACCUGCCCGGGGCGGCACAGUGAGGGUGACCUGUACCUCUGCUUUACCUGUGUGUCCUCUCUGAUGAGGAAAAGAGGCAGACCACAGAUGCAAACAGGCUGGGAUGCACUCCUCACAGGCUCUCCUGUGCCCAGCGUGCCUGGUCCCACCUCACCUCACCAGAGGGAUGUGCGGAUGCCAGGUGACUUGGGCACAGCUCCUCAGAGAUUUUCACUGCUGGGGCCAUCUUCAUUCAGCUGGAAAAUGUGAAGUGCAACAGUGCAUGCACUCAAAUCGAUGGGCUAAAAUGAGGGAAAAGCCAAUAUCGACACACAUUUCCAACUCUCACUUAACUGCAACCAUACAAAUUAGAUGUUAAGGUCUACAAAUAAAAACUGAAUGUACAGUAUAAUCAAAGCUAGUUCUCAGAUUAGAUGAGAAGGCUAUUAUUUUAUUUCAGAUUGAGGAUUGGCUCUUUUGAAAGCUAAUACCCAUCCCUUGCUCUUUGGGCCCUACAUU